UACAGAGGGUGCAAGCGUUAAUCGGAAUUACUGGGCGUAAAGCGUGCGCAGACGGUUGCGUAAGUCAGAUGUGAAAGCCCCGGGCUCAACCUGGGAAUUGCAUUUGAGACUGCGUAGCUAGGGUGCGGAAGAGGGAAGCGGAAUUUACGGUGUAGCGGUGAAAUGCGUAGAUAUCGUAAGGAAGACCAGUGGCGAAGGCGGGUCUCUGGACAGUUCCUGAC
This 221-nucleotide ribosomal RNA is filed under the name uncultured bacterium. RNAcentral describes it as "partial 16S ribosomal RNA". It matches the Rfam family "Bacterial small subunit ribosomal RNA", at positions 524 to 744 of the family's 1533-position model. The record is from RNAcentral.